This 404-nucleotide ribosomal RNA is filed under the name uncultured bacterium. RNAcentral's name for it is "bacterial SSU rRNA". It matches the Rfam family "Bacterial small subunit ribosomal RNA", at positions 32 to 414 of the family's 1533-position model. The record is from RNAcentral.
AAUCAACGCUGGCGGCGUGCCUCAGACAUGCAAGUCGAACGCGAAAGGCCCCUUCGGGGGCCGGGUAGAGUGGCGCACGGGUGAGUAACACGUAGGUAAUUUGCCUUCGGGUGGGGAAUAACAGCCGGAAACGGCUGCUAAUACCGCAUAAUGCAGCGGCUCGACAUCGAGACAGUUGUUAAAGCGGGGAGCAGCAAUGCCCUCGCGCCUGAAGAGAAGCCUGCGGCAGAUUAGCUAGUUGGCAGGGUAAUGGCCUACCAAGGCGACGAUCUGUAACCGGCCUGAGAGGGCGGUCGGUCACACUGACACUGACAUACGGGUCAGACUCCUACGGGAGGCAGCAGUCGGGAAUUUUGGGCAAUGGGCGAAAGCCUGACCCAGCAACGCCGCGUGAAGGAUGAAAU